Molecule: long non-coding RNA, 625 nt
Filed under: Vitis vinifera (wine grape)
Lineage: Eukaryota; Viridiplantae; Streptophyta; Magnoliopsida; Vitales; Vitaceae
Description: long non-coding RNA (VVIN_LNC008103)
Source: RNAcentral
GUUCACACACUUUACAGGUAUCCAGAAUUUUCGUUUGUAUGAGAAUCGAGCUUCUCAUGGGGCUCUCCCAUAAAUAUCCCAACCAAAAUGAUCAACCCAACUGAGAUAUCCAACACUUUGAACAGACCAGAAACAAAGGAGAACAAUCGAAAACAGAGUACAAACAGAGCACAAAAGAAUGAAAUAAAACGAACCAGUCAGACAGCCACGUUUCAUAUUACAAUCCAUGUGCUUAAACGAAGGUAAGUGAGAUCAAUAAAUUUUAGACAAAGACCCAGGCAUGAUUUAGACAUUUUAUAGGAAAGCUGCAACAGAGACAGCUCAUACCCGAACAAAACUCCAGGAAAUGUGAACCAAGAGAUCAACAACAAGUUAUACUAAAAAAACAACAAUAAUAGAGAAGGAAAAUGAAGAAAUCCAAAAUAAAGAAAUCCAUGUUGGCCAUACCUGAACCUCUCUGGUAGUGCUUACUCAGCUCCCUCCUCUAUAAGCUCUCCCUCUCCUUCUCGAUUCGUCCUCCGCCUCCCAGAAAAGCCCCCCCUUUCUAUCUCUCUGUCUUCCCUUUAGCUUCCGUUCGUGUCUUCCUCAGCAAGCCAGCCGUAUCCCGUCCCCUCUGCCGCCCAAA